UACGUAGGGGGCAAGCGUUGUCUGGAUUUAUUGGGCGUAAAGAGCGUGUAGGCGGCCAGAUAGGUCCGUUGUGAAAACUGGAGGCUUAACCUCCAGCGGUCGAUGGAAACCAUCUGGCUAGAGUCCGGAAGAGGAGAAUGGAAUUCCCGGUGUAGCGGUGAAAUGCGCAGAUAUCGGGAAGAACACCCGUGGCGAAGGCGGUUCUCUGGGACGGUACUGACGCUGAGACGCGAAAGCGUGGGGAGCAAACAGG
RNAcentral lists this ribosomal RNA (253 nucleotides) under uncultured bacterium. Its description in RNAcentral is "partial 16S ribosomal RNA". It matches the Rfam family "Bacterial small subunit ribosomal RNA", at positions 524 to 776 of the family's 1533-position model. The record is from RNAcentral.